RNAcentral lists this long non-coding RNA (346 nucleotides) under Mytilus galloprovincialis (Mediterranean mussel). Lineage: Eukaryota; Metazoa; Mollusca; Bivalvia; Mytilida; Mytilidae. The record is from RNAcentral.
AUGAACAAUAGUCUUUAUCAUGUCUUUGUCAAACUGGUCAAGGGUAUCCUUUUUUGGUGCAAUUUUUGAAUUUUGAUUUUCUCCUGGCCUAUUAAUUAAUGUGAUUAUAAAACUUUCACUUAUCUUUAAACAUUGUGCAGUUCUUUUUGUGAUUUUAUUCCAGGAAUGAAAAGGAGCUCCUCGCUUUGACUCUGCAUCAAAAUAAUUAUACACUUUUAGGAUUAUAUCUUUUUUUCUUUUGAAAUUUUGGGUGGCAUUGUAAUUCCUUUCUUUUAAUUUUAGUAGGGGAGACAAUUGUUAACAAUAAAAAACUGAAAGAUUUUCUUCACCCACGAAGGUUAUUAUU